This 11421-nucleotide long non-coding RNA is filed under the name Olea europaea subsp. europaea. Lineage: Eukaryota; Viridiplantae; Streptophyta; Magnoliopsida; Lamiales; Oleaceae. The record is from RNAcentral.
UAAAACCCUCGUUACCCUCCCUCUUCCUCUCAUUUGCACCAAACUGUGAAACUCUCUCUGCCUCUAACCUAGCCGCCGUCAACGUUGGAUUUUCAGGCGAAUCAACGUCGAUUGAGUACUCAAGUCAUAGUGGAAGUUUCAUCCACAAGUCCAAUGACGCCUCUCUCUUUUUCGCCGAGCGAAUCUGAUGAAAAGUCCAAGCCUUCUUCCAAGAAAAAGGUAUUUGUUAUUUCAACUUUUUUCUCUAUUUUUAAUUUUAUGUAUGGAUUUGUUCUGGGUUUCUAUUUUCUUGGAGUUUUAACAUCUGGAAUUUUUCUGCAAUUCCUUAUUUUCAUACUUUUAAAAGAACUUUGCCUAUGAAUUGCAAGAGAAGUUGGAAUUUUGAAGCUAAAUGAAUUAUAAAAAUAGGAACUCCAAGAGAUUAAAGGAAUAUAUCAGGUAUCACUUUUAAUAUUUGAUAACAACUGAAUCCAUCUAAAAACUGCAUGUAGAAUACAAAGCAGUAAGAAUGCAGAAUUUGUUCUCUUUUUAAUUUGUAUUCUGGCUACAGAGACAGAAGAUUUGUGCAGUCUUAUUUGGUUUCAAGUAUCUCUAGAGUGAAAUCUAAGAUACAAAAUUAUAAUUGAAAGGAUAGGAAGUUUGAUUGAUCAAAAGUUUCUUGUGUCGGAGAACAGCAGAAAAUUACCAUUCAAAUGGCUGUUCAUAUCUUCACUCAUUCUGGUUAUUGGUGAGUAAAGUAUACGGUAUCGAGUUAACUCAAGAGUCUGCUCAUAAACUACAAUGUCAAGUCUAACUACCUGCUCAUUUCUUAACGAUUAAAUGCCGCUAAUAUUAGAGAUUUAUGCAGUCAGUGAUAAGAACAAAAUUCUAAUUUUUAACCUUUUUUACUACUCAAUAACAAGAAAAUACGAACUUCCAACAAUGAAACAUAAUUUAAUUGGUGCUAAAACAGUGUUUCAUAUGAUUCAAAUUACAAUCUUUUCUAUCUAAAAUUAAAUGCCAAAACGAGAUUACCUUUUGGAUAUUAACUAAAGGCUCAUGUCCAAAACUUAAAUUCAUAAGAAAACAACAUAUACAUUAAGGGAAAGUGUUGUAUCACAUAGAAAUCACCAAACAUGACUUACUGUUGGGAAAAAUAAUAAUUUGAAUGUAGAUUAAUGUCAAUUAAAAUAACAAAUUUAAGCAAAGAGUUAGAAAAAAAUUAAAAAAAGUUACUUGUACAAUGAACAAGCACGAAAAGGAAAGAAAAACUUAGCUAAUUCAAUUGAUCAUAAAUCAGAAAAGAGAUAUACUACGGCGUUAUAUAGAGUGGAUUUCACGACAUUCGGGAGGCCAACGAUGUUGGCUUUCAAGCUCAUGCUUAUCUUAGCUAUCUGAAAUUGUCUAUUGAUAAAAACAUCGAAUGCGAAGAAUUUGAAAGAUUUGGUCAUUGGAAUAGGAGUGAAAGCUUCAGUGGUAGUGAUGAAAUUGAAAGAAUGAGAUUUGCGCAUACUAUUCUUACCAUUAAUAAAGGGAAAUGAGGUUGAGAGUUUGCAGAAUUUGAUUAUAAUGUAGUAAUUGCUAAUUCUUUAAGGCAAAAUUUUGGGAGGGGGAGGGGGAGGGGGAGGGUUAUAACAUAUUUAACAUGUUCUUAAAUAAUUUAGUUAGUUAUUAGGGUAUUAAUCUAAGCGGAACUUACGAAAGUACUCCCAAAAUUAGAAGUCUUUUGAAAAAUCAUAUGGAAAGUGUUUUAGAAGUAAAAAAAUACUUGUGUAAAGUGAAGUGUCCCAUUUUUAUUGAAAGGUGACAUACUGAGAAUUCAUGUUUGUCAUUCAAAAAAGUAAUAGAAAUUUUUUAAAAAAAGUGAUAUAUACAACAAAAAAAUUAUAGAAUUUCAAAAAAGUGACCAAAAAAAAAAAAUAGUGACAAACACUCAAAAAAGACAAAAAUUUCAAAAAGUAACAAAUACUAAGAAAAUUGACAAAUUUACAUUCGUGUCAAUAAUUCAAGUCUUGUUGAAUUUGAUUGAUGUGAUACCAUUUUGAAAGUAUACAACUUGAACACAACGAGCAAACUUACCCAGAAUUUACAAUGGAUAAAUGCCAUUUCCUAGUCUAACAUCGAAGAAACAAUUUGCACAAUUUGAUUUCAUAUUAAAUCAAAUUAGGCUCAAAACUAGCAAUCAUUCCCUAAAUAGAAGUCAUGUAUCAUGAAGUGCACAAUCCGCAAUCAACAAGACAUUGAAAUAAUAGAUAGAAUAUAUACACGUAUUUGCACGAGAAAGAAUUACUCUAGAAACAUGCCCAUCCCACUUUCAAGAGUUCCUUCUUCCAAUGCAACGUCAUUUUGAGCACACCCAUAGUAAAUAAGUUAUAUAUCGUAAAACUUCUUUCACAGUUAACACAAUAUAAAAUAAAUUAACAUCAAGUUUCACUUAUAUUAAUUCAACAUAACAUAUAACUUCAUUUUAGGAACAUAAAAAGGUUAUAAAUUAGAAGUGUUAGAAAUUCAACAAGGGGUGCCAAUUUAAAAAAGUGAUAAAUACUUAAAAAAAGCAGAAAUUAAAAAGAGAGUGAAAAAAUCAAUCAAAGCCUGAAAAUGGAUCUAGUGUUGGUUGAUAGUGUUGGUUGAUUUCUUCUACAUUCUGUCUUUUUAAAAUUAUAUUUUACUUCUAUUAAUUAAACAUGUGACAUAACUUCAUUUUAGGAAAACAACAUCUUAUAAGUAGGAAGUGACAAGAAUUCAUAAAAAUGACUAAAAUUUAAAAGAGUGAUAGAAAUUCAAAAAAAAUGACAAAUUAUGUUUGUGUCAAUAAUUCAAAAUCACUCUAUUGUCUACACAUGAAAUUCGUAAAUCGUAACAUAUGCUCAUGUAUGAGAUCAUGUAUUCAAUAUAAUAAUGAUCGAUCUCAUAUUUGAAUAAUCACAUCAUCAACGUUUAUAUGCCCUAUUCAUACACAAAUUAGCCAAAAGCUUAAUUCAUAAACCAUCCUGUUUCUCCAACUGGCACAUGAAUAAGUAAUCUAACAAGGCAUUUGAUUGAAAGCAAUUCUAGGGCCCAAUCCUUGACAUCAUACUAUUCUCCUAAAACUUCAGAGAUAAUAAUUUUGCUAUCUUCUUUACGAGCUACAUCAGAGUGAAGAUGUUCUUAGUAUACAAACGUAAGUUCGAGUUUCAUUGGGUUGACCUAUCGGAAAACUAUCUACUAAGAAGGUCGUCAGCUUCUUCCUAUGCCCCUUAUUUACUAAGCUUGUGUUAUAAUCCAAAUUUUUAUCUCCAUUAAUAGUUGAAGACAAGUAAUCAGCAUUAUUAGCUAGAAAGCAAUGGGAUUUAUUUUGUCGGAGAAGGUACUCAUCUAAAAACAUCAUCCUUUGUGAACUUUCAUUAAUUUGGUGAAGAUGAUAUUUUUAUGAACUUAUAACAUCAUCAUACAUAUAUCACGCCUUUUAAACAAAGCCAUACUAUGAUUCUAAGACACAUCAAGUGAAAGGAAAGCAUAAUGCUUAGUUAUAUAUUAAAUCAAAAUUGAACAUGGCAAUUGAAACUAUACCUUUUGUUCAAUGAGCAAAAUAAUACAUGCUGCCAAAUGGACAAUGCCCUUUUAGCUCCAUUUGUUACAAAUCCUUGUUUUCCAGUUUGAGGGCUUCAAGAUUGAUUCAUUAUUGCCAAACUUAUUGUCGUAGUUUCUCGGGCUCCAGACUGAUCAUCAUGAAGGAAAAGUGCAAUUCUCAUCAUAAGAACAGCCCUCCUCUGUAUAGAAUUUCUUGCAAUGCCUCCAUUUAUAAGACUUCUGUGCCUCCUAACCACCUAGUAUAAUCGAAAUAUGAAACUCUUCACUUUGGCUUUGAUGACACUCCUCGUUCUUUGUCAUGGGCAACAACCAAAUCUUGAUGGUGGGAAGUAAAACAGAGAUCCAGUGGUGGGAGUCUCAGGAUUUCUAAGUUAAUUACCCAAAUAGUCACAUAACUUUGUCAAAAAUUUCAGGAGGUCGCUGAACUUCAAAACUUUCCUAAAUAAUCACUGAACUUUGGCGAAGUUCCCAAGAGCUCCCCAAAUUUCAAAACUUUGCUCUUCUUCUCGUAGCGAAUGAGAAGAGCCUGAGUGAUGCUAUAGAGAAGGGCAUUCAUUUACAGGAGCAUAUUAUGAAAUUAUACAAUGAUUAUUAUCAUGAUGAGUUGAUGAAAUUAGUUGUCAUUGGAGAAAUUAAGUUUUUUAUUCAUACAUUAAUAAGAAAAUGGAUAGAUGUGAAAGGUUUUUAGUUGGCCAUGUAAUUGAUAUUUGUUAUAGAAAGAAUGAAGAGAAAUCACAAGGUUGAGCUACGAGGUUGAAUCACCAGGUAACUAUAUUCUAGUGAACAUUUUGUUUCAGAGAAAAACCAUACAAUCAAUAUAAAAAAUUUCAACUAUAUGGCCAGUCAAGAACCUUUUACAUUUAUCCAUUUUCUUAUUUAUAUAUGAAUAAAAAACUUAAUUCCUCCAAUGACAACUAAAUUUAUCAACUCGCCUCCUGUAAAUGAAUGCCCUUCUCUAUAGCAUUACUCAGGCUCUUCUCAUUCGCUACGAGAAGUAAAGCAAACACAGUACAAAGAUACAUACACCUAAUGAGUCUAUUGAAAGGAUGAUCAGAGGUAAAUGUAUAGCACUGCAGCUGUUGCAGGCAUGAGAAAUUAUCUUGUAAAAAUUGAUUAAAUUUUAACCCAAAUUGUUAUAUGUUUAUAGGAUAUUCAACUUUGAGCCAACAGCGAUAACAAUGAACGAUCUACUACAAGAUGAUUUUUCGCGUCUGCAACAACUGUAGUGUCAUACAUCUGCGUCUGGUCAUCCUUUCAAUAGAUUCAUUCGGGGUAUAUUUCUUUGUAAUGUGUUUGCUCUACUUCUUGUAGGAAAUAAGAAGAGCCAGAGUAAUUUUAUAGAGAAUGACAUUUAUUUACAAUGACAUAUUAUGAAAUUAUACAAUGAUUAUUAUGAUAACGAAUUGAUGAAGUUAGUUGUCAUUUGAGAAAUUAAGUUUUUUUCAUACAUUAAUAAGAAAAUGGAUAGAUUUGAAAUGAUUUUGAUUGGUCAUGUAGUUGAAAUUUAUUAUACUUCAUAGAAGGAAUGAAGAGAAAUCACAAGGCUGAACUGUGAGGUUGAAUCAUCAGGUAAGUACAUUCUAGCGAACUCCCACAUUUUAUUUCGGAGAAAAAACGUUCAAUCAAUUGAACAAAUUUCAACUACAUGACCAGCGAAAAACUUUUUAUAUAUAUCCAUUUUCUUAUUAAUGUAUGAAUAAAAAAACUUAAUUCCUUCAAUGACAAUUAAUUUAAUCAAUUCACUAUGAUAAUAAUCAUUGUAUAAUUUCAUAAUAUGUUCCUGUAAAUAAAUGCCCUUCUCUAUAGCAUCACUUGGGCUCUUCUUAUUCCCUACGAGAAGUAGAGCAAACACAAUAAAAAUAAAUAUACCCUUAAUGAGUCUAUUAAAAGGAUGACCAGAGGUAGAUAUAUGGCACUGCAGUUGUUGCAGACGUGAGAAAUUUUGUAAUAGAUCCUUAAUUAUUAUCGCUGCUGGCUCGAAGUUGAAUAUUCUAUUAAUAUGUAACAAUUUGGGUCAAAAUUUAAUCAAGUUUUACAAAAUUUUUUGCUUUUGCAACAACUGCGGUGCCAUACAUUUGUCUCUGGUCAUCCUUUCAAUAGACUCAUUAGAGGUAUAUUUCUUUGUACUGUGUUUGCUUUACUUCUCGUAAAGAAUGAGAAGAGCCCGAGUGAUGCUAUAGAAAAUGACAUUCAUUUAUAGGAGCAUAUUAUGAAAUUAUGCAAUGAUUAUUAUCAUGGCAAAUUGAUAAAGUUAGUUGUCAUUGGAGGAAUUAAGUUUUUUAUUCGUACAUUAAUAAGAAAAUGGAUGGAUGUGAAAGGUUUUUGGCUGGUCAUAUAGUUGAAAUUUGUUAUACUUCAUAGAAGGUCUAUGAAUGAAGAGAAAUCACAAGGUUGAUUUGUGAGGUUGAAUCAACAGUUAACUACAUUCUAGCGAACUCACACAUUUUAUUUCGAACAAAAAGCGUUAAAUCAAUAUAACAAAUUUCAAUUACAUGACCAGUCAAAAACCUUUCACAUCCAUCCAUUUUCUUAUUAAUAUAUGAGUAUAAAUAAAAAACUUAAUUCCUCCAAUGACAACUAAUUUCAUCAAUUCACCAUCAUAAUAAUCAUUGUAUAAUUUCAUAAUAUGCUCCUGUAAAGAAAUGUUCAUCACUCAGACUCUUCUCAUUCUCUACGAGAAGUAGAGCAAACACAGUAUAAAGAAAUAUACUCCUAAUGAGUCUAUUGAAAGGAUGACUAGAAGCAUAUGUAUGGCACUGCAGUUGUUGCAGACAUAAGAUUAUCUUGUAAAAUCUUAUUACAUUUUGACCCAAAUUGUUACAUGUUAAUAGAACAUUCAAUUUCGAGCCGGUAGCGAUAAUAAUUAACGAUCCAUUCAGAAUAAAUUUCUAAAGCCAUUGAGACAGGAAAGAUGAUGGAACCUAAAUCUACAUAAUAACUCAAGGUGCAUGGCUUUAGCUUUCAUCGAAGGUGAAAUAAAAAAUUGAGCAAAUCUGAAACAUGAAAACAUUAAGAGUAAGCCCCCGUUUGAAUCUCAUUACAUUAAAUUACAUUACAUUUCAUUUUUCUCUUCUAUUUUCAACUAUACAAUCUUCCAAAAAAAUAAUAUUAUACUAAAAUGGAAAACUUUUCCUUCUUUUUCAACCACUCAUUUUUAAAAUAAAUAAUAUUACUCCCAUUUUCAUUUCCAAAAAAUGGAUGCCAAACAAGGGCUAAGUAUCAAUAAAAUCUCAUUGAGAGCAACACAAAUAAAGAGGAUAAAGAAGCAAAGCUGCUUUCUUGUAAGUCUAAGACUUGGCUACUUACUUAUCAUGUGGAACCGGAAAAUACACUUGUAGUUAACAAAUUUAAAUCCACUAUCCUAUACCACAUGAUAACUAACAAGAUUCAUAUACAUACACAGUCAAAAAUUUAUAAUCCAUGGUGUUCCUUUUAGGCCACGCUUCGCAUCUACAAGAAGCACUAGGAUCGUCCCCAUCUAUAGUUCACCAUAAUUCAUUAAGCACAAAAGUUAAGGUUCCAUUUUAUUUUGCAUUUGUCCAGCACAAGAAGCUAGCUAUUUAAAAUUUAUAUUCAACCUGAAAACAAAAUCUUGAACAAUCAUUCUAAGUUUUACGGGUUGUUUGAGCCCCAUUUUUUUGAAAAAAUGCAUUUUGAUAUAGUGUUAUGAUGGAGAAUGUGUGGUUAAAAAAUUAAAAAAAAAAUUUAGGUUUACGUGUAAUAUUAUUUUAUUGAAAAAUAUGUGAUUGAAAUGAGGUCAAAUCACCGUUGCAGAAUGUAAUUUGGUAAAAAAAUAGGGCUCAAAUAAGGGCUUAAUACUCAAACUAACAUCUUAUUCCUUGGUUCAACCUCUGCUUCAAAAACAUAAAACUUCCUAUUUAAGAGGGUCUUAAAACAAUCUGCCUCCACUGAACUUGACAUAAGAUUCAUAAACUCAAAUGAAAACAAAUCUAUUUCCUUCUGCAUGCCUUAUGGUGUGAUCUGUGCCCAGGAUAAUUCAUCUUCCAUCAAAGCGCACGAAAAAAUUAUGCCCUUGUUUGGCCCCCAUUUUUUGAAAUAAAAAUGGAUGGAAUAUUAUUUUUAAAAAAAAAUAAGUGGUUGAAAAAGAAGGAAAGGUUUUUGUUUUACGUAUAAUAUUCUUUUAUUUUAACUUAAAAUAAAUGCAAGAUUUAAUAAUGUGUGUUAAAACACACAUUAUAGAGUACUGGAGAGAUUCAAAUUUAAUAAUGUUUCAAUAUCUUGUAUUUAUUUGCAUUCAUGACUCUUUAAAUUCAUAGCAGAUUCCCAUUAAUUUGUCUCAUUUUUCCUUUUCUUCUAUUGUUUUUGCAUUUAUUUGUGCUACCUUUCAAAUGAAAUGAUCUUACCUUAGACUGCACAGAGUCGGUGAGUCGAACAGGACUUAUAUUGUUUUCUUAAAAUGUUCUUGUUUUGUCCACUUGUUACAUGAAGUUAGAAUAUGAGGCCUAUUGACCAUAUUUUGCACGUUUAGAUCGUGCCAUUUUAUUGAUUUAUGGGUCAUUGGAAUGAAACAGUUCAAAAAGAGUUGGGCUUAAGGAAGUACAAAAUUUUAUUGGGGUAGUUUAAAAAGUACAUGUAGUCGUUAAUCUAGGUGGGUGAUAGGAAUAUGUUUUCAUUUUUGCAGCUUAAAGGUGUCUGCUACACAUGCUUAUGAUAUUUAUGGUCAUAUUAGCCUCGAAUGUAUAUGCUUAUGACCAACAUUUGAAGUACUCAUAGUUGAAUUGAAAAUAUCAUGGUUUCAGAGGGUAAAGGGAGCUGCUCGUUUUUAUUAAAAGCUAAAAGCUGGGCAUCUUCUUGAUAGGACUCUGCUGGAAGAAAAUAACAACUGAGAAAUAUUAUUUAAUUCUGAAUGAAUUUCACAGAAAUGCGAAUUAUAGCAAACUUCUAAUAGACUUCUCCUCGCUAAUUUCCCCUAACAGACUUUGGCUUUCCACCCACUUGCAGCUUAUUCUUCUUCUGGGUCCUUCUAGAAUGAGUGAGGUGGAUUGGAGCCUAUCAAAUCCCUCAGUUUCCAAAUACAUCUUGUCCUUAAGGUGGGAGUCAGGGAAGUGAUAUAGGCUUUUAUGAUUCCCAUGAAGCUUCAUAUGCUAGUAAGCCUUUUGGGUCAGAUUUUUCUUGUGAAGCUUUUAACAACAUAUUGUGGUCCUGAAUGCGUUGGGCCACUUGCAUUAGAUGGCCAACCCUUUUGGGCUUAAUAACUUGAUUUUAGCCCUAAUAUCUAGCUUUAACCGAUUAAAAAAAGUGUUUUCCGAUACAUCCUCCAGUAUGUCUCUCAAAGGUGCAGCCAACACCUCAUAACUCUUAUCAAAAUUAAGCUACUAUACCGCCUUGAUUUAUUGCCUGGAGCUUCUCAUAGAUACUCUCCACCUAAGUUGGCCGAAAAUGCUGCAAGAUAUGCUGCUUGAAUUGUUGCUAGUUUUGGAAAGGCAUCAUUGCCUCUGUCGAUUGGAACCAUGUUAAGGCAUCAGGAUUAUCUCCACCGAACAUGGGCACUUCCAGUUUCUGGUUCCUCUAGUUCCUUUACUUUGCUCAAGAUCUGCUGUAUCUCCUCCAUAGCUUGCUUUGCCCAAACCUUCAGGACCCUUUCCACAAUCCUUAUUUUUUUUUAUCACCUAUGGGACUAUUGUGAGCGUUUGGGAAUGUUGGUCUCUCCGUGAUGAUUCCAGUUCCUUUACCUUCCAGCUUCCUAUUCAUUGCUGCUUUAGGGAGGGUAAUUGAUGCCACAGAUUUCUAAAUUUUUUCCAUUGUUUUUCCCCUCUUAAGAGACUUUGGUUUUCUACCCACUUGCAGCUUAUUAUUCUUCUGGGUCCUCCUAAAAUGAGUGAGGUGGAAAUUAAGUGCUGGUGUUGCUAAUGAAGGGAUGUAUUGCUCUUCAGUUUCUUAUAUUUUCUUAUGGAUAUACACCUCAUUGACUCGGGCUUGAAGAAGGUAAAUUUUUCCUUUUCUUGUUCUGGAAGUUUGGGAAAAAACUAAUUAUCACUUGCUAAUUAGCUCUUUUGUUAAUUUAGUAGCUUGCACAACAUUACAUUUGCUUGAGACUAGAAGAAUGGCUGCAAUUUAUGACUAGAUUUUAAGUUUUACUUCCUCUGUCUAUGAUUCAAUAAUCUUAUUUGUUCUUUUGCAUUUCCAUUAAUGAUUACUUUAUCGAAAACUAGACAUUUUGUUUGAUGAAUUCCCUCGUUUUAAAGUACUCGUUAGGAUUUUCUUGGAUUCUUAGCUAUUGAUUUUUUAGGGUAAAAACGAAGAGUUUCACCUAACUUUCACCUUUUCAACUUCUAACAAACUCCAAGACAUGCAAUUAUGAAUGGAGUAAUAGUUAAUUUGAAGCUUGAUCAUUAGGAAUCAAUUUCAAAAAAAUAAAUCUAAUCAAGUUCCCAAGUAGCAAGAAUUCAGAAUUUAUUCCAUUUUUAAAAUUACACAUGUUUCUGAUUAGAAAAGUAUUACAUCGACGAUGUUCCAAAUUUUUGAUAUGGUCCAUGGAAUAUUUUGGCAUCAGAUUGUUUGACUAAAUAGCUUAGUCAUGAAUUUAUUGUACUAUAUUUGUGAUGAAAUAUUAUAGGCGAUUAUUUAUUUAUUUUUCUAUUUUGAUUCUUAUUUUAGGAAAUAUGAUUAGAGUGAUUUAAUAAUUUUCAUAGCAUUUCUUUUUAAUUAAUUAUGAUUUUUUAAACCCUAUAUAGAGGGGAUUAUGGCAAUGUAAUAAAAAAACUUUUAAAUGAAAUAAAGAUUGAUAUUUUCUCCGCAACUUCUCUUCCGUCUCUCUAAUUCUUAUCCCCUUUCUAUUUCCUUCCCUCUUCUUUUCUUGUUUCUUCUAUUUUCCUCUGCCUCUCUCUUCCUUUUUUCCCUUUCUCUCUCUUAUAAUUUCCCUAUUACAUCCUACGUCAGUUUGAUUUUAUUAUGCUAAUGCCAAGCAGCAUUUAUCACUAUUGUCUAUAUCUUUCUCUUUGUAUGCUAAUAAGCUGUCACUGGAUCUUUGAUCCUUGUUAUGAUAUGACACAUGCUACUGAAGGUUUAGAUCUUUGAUAUCAUUGGCUUUGUCUAUCGAUAUCUCAAAUGACUGCGCCUACUUUCUCUACAAGAAUGGAACUCCAAGGAAAGUUGAAAUUUGUAUGUGCAGAGGGGCAACCUCUAGUUGAUUAUGCUAAAAAACUUGCUAGUUAUCUCUCACUACAUGUAUACUGAACAUCCUCAGGUCAAAUGUAUUUUAGGGCCCAUUUGAUUUGGCAAAUUUUCGACCUUUUCUCAUGUUUGAUAGCAAAAAUUUUCCAAGCAAUUUGUUUUCCUUCUCCUCCCUACACGUGCAUUUUCCUUGGUUUGGUGGAACCAGCCCCCUUUUUUGGCAUUUGGAACAAAUUCUAUCAUCAUUUGUAACAAAUUUUGUCCCUUUAAUUGACAAUUUCCAUAAAAACAAAGUUAAACGAACAUCAAAAGAUAGAAAAUUUCAUCAUUUUCAUGUAAAAAAUUAUCUCAAUCUUAAUUGACAAUUCCCAGGAAAAUAAAUUCUAGGCAGUUCAAUUCCCUAAAAUUCUUUUUCUUUCCACCCAAAUUUCAUUCUUGCAAUUAAAUAGACCUUUAAAGGAAUAAGGUGAAUUAAGGUUGUUUUGGUAGAAAAGGUUAAGCAUGAUACCUAAAUUUUCUAACACUAUAAUUUAGCAAUGAACAUUAUCUUAUUGAUUAAGCAAGAUUGAUUAUUUAAAUUGAUUUGCGUGUAAAAUAACAAUUUUUUUGAAGAAUAAACUCUAUACAAUUAGGUUGUGUUUGAUAACUCCCUUUUCCAUUGAAAAGGGAAUUUAAAUUCCAUUUGCCUUGUUUGAUAGGCAACAUUUUCUAGGCAAUAGAAUUUUCAUUUUCCAUGGC